CGCCUCCGGCCGGGCGGGGAGAGCGGGGCGAGGCGGGGCCCGCCGGCCGCCCCGCCCCAUCCUCGGGGAUGCCGGGAUGUUUACGGGCCUGACAGGAACGACGGGGGGCGGAGAGCAGGUCGGGGCCGCCGUCGGUGCCCGCGCCGCCCGCCAGGAGCCCCGCUAGGCGCCCGCCGCCGGCGCGGCCCCGGACUCGAGGCGCCGGAGAAGCCGGGGAGGAGCGGCGGCCGGUCGCGCUCUCCCGCACCAGGAGCAGGCGGAGCCAGGCUGGCCGGACAUAAGGGACAUUGGUGCGUGAUAGAAUGGAUGAACAGUCACAAGGGAUGCAGGGGCCUACUGCUCCACCAUUUCAGCCACAGAAAGCCUUACGACCUGACAUGGGCUACAACACACUUGCCAAUUUCCGAAUAGAGAAGAAGAUUGGCCGUGGGCAGUUCAGUGAAGUUUACAGAGCAACCUGCCUGCUGGAUGGGGUACCAGUGGCUCUGAAGAAGGUUCAGAUAUUUGAUUUAAUGGAUGCCAAAGCCCGUGCUGACUGCAUCAAAGAAAUAGAUCUUCUUAAGCAACUGAAUCAUCCAAAUGUAAUCAAAUAUUAUGCCUCAUUCAUUGAAGACAAUGAACUGAACAUAGUGUUGGAAUUAGCAGAUGCUGGAGAUCUCUCUAGAAUGAUAAAGCAUUUUAAGAAACAGAAGAGGUUGAUUCCUGAAAGAACAGUGUGGAAGUACUUUGUUCAGCUUUGCAGUGCCUUGGAACAUAUGCACUCUCGUCGUGUUAUGCAUAGAGAUAUUAAGCCAGCAAAUGUGUUCAUUACAGCUACAGGAGUAGUAAAGCUGGGAGACCUUGGACUUGGUCGAUUUUUCAGCUCCAAAACCACAGCAGCACAUUCUUUAGUUGGUACACCUUAUUAUAUGUCUCCAGAGAGAAUACAUGAAAAUGGUUACAACUUCAAGUCUGACAUCUGGUCUCUAGGCUGUUUGCUGUAUGAGCUUGCAUUUUUAACAUUCUUUUUAAGAUGGCUGCACUGCAGAGUCCCUUUUAUGGUGAUAAAAUGAACUUGUACUCUCUGUGCAAGAAGAUAGAACAGUGUGACUACCCACCUCUCCCUUCAGAUCACUAUUCAGAGGAACUGCGACAAUUAGUGAAUAUGUGCAUCAACCCGGAUCCGGAGAAGCGCCCAGACAUCGCCUACGUGUACGAUGUAGCGAAACGCAUGCACGCACACACCGCCAGCAGCUGAGCACCAGCACAGCCCGGGCAGGAGCAGCAGAACCCAGUGCCCACCUCUCCGUGUGCCUCACACAAAUGGAAUUGUUGGAAGCUUACUGUUGUGCUUGGAAUUGUAAGCCAGUUUAUGUACAAGCUUUGUUGUUUUCUGUUUCUUUCUGGGUUUUGUGUUUUUUGCUAACUUGCAGCCGUACAACAGGUUGAAAUAUGUAAAGCGGAAUUUUGAGACGCCGUGAACCACUGUUUCCAUGUUAGUGGGUUCAAGUAUACUUUCUGUAAUGACAAAAUUGUAUUCAGUUGGGCCUCAGUUCUAAAACACAGUUGCACUUUUGCACAUGAUACAGAUAUUAGGCUUAUUAUCGAGAAGCAAAAUGUCUGAAUCUCUCACCUUUUUAGUAAUUUAUGGAAAGUAUGAAUCAGCACAGUUAACUUUAUUUUAAUCCUUGUUCCAAGAGGAACAGAAUUAUUACAGGAUCUUAUUGUAUUUUAUAUUGAAUUGUACUUUGCAGUUCUUUCUGUAAGACUAGACAAGGAAUAGAAUUAGUUCUCUGCUUGCCAAAUGCAAUGGAAAAAUAAUUUCAGGAAAAACUGUCACGCUGAAAUUUUUGUAACAUCCCCUUUUGUUUUGUUAGUCUCUCAUAACACACAAAACAUUUCUUGAAGGUUUUCUGGGAAAAUUUAAGGUAUUGAUUCAGCAAUCUGGUUUUCACUGGACUUGUGCAGCGUUGCCCUGGGGCAAUGGGAGUCUGCAUAGUUCAGUGUUAAAAACAUGCAGAUGCUUCUUGUAGCCAAUAGGGUUCUUUUAUGGCUGUCCUUUGAGCAGGUCUGAUUAAAAGAUGUGAUCUUUAAGUUACAACUUCCCAACUGUUUGUGUAUAUGUUUCUGUAGAUUUUUGUGUUUAAAAUAAUUUGAGUGACCUUACAGUAUAUUUAAAUUUUAAUCUUUUUUUUCUAAAUCCUGAAUUUUUUUGGCAAAGAUAUAAUAGUCUAGUAUGGCACAGAAUGUAUUCUACAUAAAUAUAUGAUUAUUGUAUACUGUAUCCCUGAGACUUAGUUUUAUAUUUAGCAGAAGUAAAUUAUAGCUUUUAUGUUUAAGAGGAAGUUGCCACGCCUUAAUUUGGGCAACAAUUAUAUAUGCAAACUGUCUUACAGAUACUUUAUUAGUUUAAAAGGAAAUGCUGAAUAUUUUUGUUAGACCUUAGUGCCUUUUGGGGUAUGCGUAUAUAAUAUUUUCAUUGUUAAGGAAGGAAUGUGUCUUGUUUUUAAAUUUGGUAAAAUGGAGAGUGAAAUGAAAUUCCUUGAGUUUCAAGACUGAACUUUUUUUACAGAACUGUCUAAAGGUAAUUAUAAUCAGUGAUAGCAGCUAACGAGCUGUUACUGUCAGUUAAGUCUUUAUGUGGGUAAAGAGUUCAAAUAAAAGCAGCACUAUGUACAUACACAUAUAGGUUCUAGAUGCAGUCACAUCCCUGCAUGCUCAGAUUAUGUUUUGCUUGUUUAUUUCUCUGCAGCUGUAAUUUUUAUUUGGUAUAAUGCUCAAAAAAAUUGUGGAGUUUGUAUUCAAGGGAGGGUCAGGGUUGGUUUUGGUUUUGUAUUUUUUAAAACUACAAAUACUAUGAAAAUUAUGUUUGGGAAAAAGAAAGGGAGUUUUUAGAUGGUAUGUACCAGAUCAUCAGCUUAUCUUAAUCCAUAAUUUUUUAUUUUUUGCUUCCAGGUUUUGUAGGACAAAUUGUAUGAAACUGUAGUAUUAUUUCUCACUUCUGUGUGCACUUAACCUUAUAGAACUUCAGUGGAGAAGUUUGUUGGAAAGAGGUAUUUGAGAAACUUUGGUCUGUAUUUAGCAACCUCUAGAUUUGUUUUCAUUAAUUAAAUGGUUUUAUAAUUUAAAACAUGAUGGUUAUGUUCUGUAACAAUGUUUCACAUGUCAUAGAAUGAAAUGCUCUGUAUUGGAAAAGUCAGCACAAUACUUGUUUGACUGCCAGAAUUAGUUCUUAGUAUGCACAAGUACUCAAUUUUUUUUUUUUCUGAAAUGUGCUAGAACAUUUAAAAAUCACCGAAAAAGCUAAAUGCAAUGCAGGCUAUUUGUAUCUAAUAUUAUGCAUAAAGUGUUGAACUUUUCCUGCCAGAAACUGCUGAUAGAUAUCCCUCCCCUGGAAGGGUAUGUUGAGUAAGAGAAUCAUGAGUUAAGAGUUAGCAAAUACGCCUUCUUAAACAUUUAAAUUUUUUUAGCAGUGUGGGAUUUUUUUAGUAGUUAUGAUGAAAUACUGUGCUGAGGAAAAGAAAUAGUUGUCCCUGACUUAAAAUCUGUGAAAUGAAUGGUGCACCUGGCUCUAGUACCAAACUCAGUAAUAAAAGACAAUGUGGGUUAAUAGAACUGCUUACACAGGUGGGGAUUGUAGAAUCUCUCCCUAAAGUACCUGGUAACAUAUGAGAAUUAUAAGUUUUGUUAUAUCACUCCAACAAUGUAUGCUAUGUGCUUAUAAAAUAUUUUCUUUUCUAAACCACCAUCCUGUUUUUCAUAUGUUGAUUAUAACAUCUGGCACUAUUUAUUUUAAGUUGUGGCAUUAUGUGUUUAUUUUCUUUAAAGAAAACAUGUUACAUUUCUACCCAAAAUGUCUGACCAGCUCCUCCUUUUAUUUCAGUAAUGCUCCAGUAUUAACUUGUGUCAGGAGUGAACUUUGUGCUUUGAAUGACAUUGCAUAAAUUCCCUUUGUGUCAAAAGCUCCUCUGCAGUGCAGUAGUCCAAUAGAAAUAAAACAUACAAAUAUUAAAUGUAAUGUAAAAACUA
This is an RNA transcript of Prinia subflava (tawny-flanked prinia), 4008 nucleotides long. It is a transcript of the gene named NIMA related kinase 7, with no coding region annotated. The record is from RefSeq and is a predicted model, not a curated record. NCBI's taxonomy places the organism in Eukaryota, Metazoa, Chordata, Aves, Passeriformes, Cisticolidae. The transcript has 11 exons.